This 491-nucleotide ribosomal RNA is filed under the name uncultured bacterium. Its description in RNAcentral is "partial 16S ribosomal RNA". It matches the Rfam family "Bacterial small subunit ribosomal RNA", at positions 29 to 506 of the family's 1533-position model. The record is from RNAcentral.
AGUGAACGCUGGCGGUAGGCCUAACACAUGCAAGUCGAACGGCAGCACAGUAAGAGCUUGCUCUUACGGGUGGCGAGUGGCGGACGGGUGAGGAAUACAUCGGAAUCUACUUUUUCGUGGGGGAUAACGUAGGGAAACUUACGCUAAUACCGCAUACGACCUACGGGUGAAAGCAGGGGAUCUUCGGACCUUGCGCGAUUGAAUGAGCCGAUGUCGGAUUAGCUAGUUGGCGGGGUAAAGGCCCACCAAGGCGACGAUCCGUAGCUGGUCUGAGAGGAUGAUAAGCCACACUGGAACUGAGACACGGUCCAGACUCCUACGGGAGGCAGCAGUGGGGAAUAUUGGACAAUGGGCGCAAGCCUGAUCCAGCCAUACCGCGUGGGUGAAGAAGGCCUUCGGGUUGUAAAGCCCUUUUGUUGGGAAAGAAAAGCAGCAGGUUAAUACCCCGCUGUUCUGACGGUACACAAAGAAUAAGCACCGGCUAACUUCGU